GUGCUUGCUUCAGCAGCGCAUAUACUAAAAUUGGAAUGAUACAGAGAAGAUUAGCAAGGCCCCUGCACGAGGAUGACACGCAAAUUCGUGAAGUGUUCCA
Molecule: small nuclear RNA, 100 nt
Filed under: Camelus ferus (Wild Bactrian camel)
Lineage: Eukaryota; Metazoa; Chordata; Mammalia; Artiodactyla; Camelidae
Source: RNAcentral